AACGAACGCUGGCGGCAUGCCUAACACAUGCAAGUCGAACGAUUCCUUCGGGCAUAGUGGCGCACGUGUGAGUAACUCGUGGGAACCUGCCCUUUGGUACGGAAUAACUCCUUUAAACUGGAGCUAAUACCGUAUUUUUCCCCUGGGACAAAGAUUUAUCGCCACGGGAUGGGACCGCGUAGGAUUAGCUUGUUGGUGGGGUAACGGCCUACCAAGGCUACGAUACUUAUCUGGUCUGAGAGGAUGAUCAGCCACACUGGGACUGAGACACGGCCCUGACUCUUACGGGAGGAAGAAGUGGGGAACACUGGACAACCGGCGCAAGCCUGACCCAGCCAUGCUGCGUGAGUGAUGAAGGCCUUCGGGUUGUAAAGCUCUAUGGAAAGAGAAGAUGAUGACGGUAGCGGGAGAAGAAGCGCCGGCUAACUUCGUG
RNAcentral lists this ribosomal RNA (433 nucleotides) under uncultured bacterium. RNAcentral's name for it is "partial 16S ribosomal RNA". It matches the Rfam family "Bacterial small subunit ribosomal RNA", at positions 29 to 507 of the family's 1533-position model. The record is from RNAcentral.